GAGUUUGAUCUUGGCUCAGGACGAACGCUGGCGGCGUGCCUAACACAUGCAAGUCGAACGGAGAACUCGAAAAGCUUGCUUUAAGAGUUCUUAGUGGCGGACGGGUGAGUAACGCGUGGGCAACCUCCCCCUUAAACCGGGACAACCCUUGGAAACGAGGGCUAAUACCGGAUACGCUUUUCUGAGGGCAUCCUCGGGGAAGGAAAGGCGGCCUCUGAAGAUGCUGCCGAUAAGGGAUGGACCCGCGUCUGAUUAGCUGGUUGGUGGGGUAAAGGCCUACCAAGGCGACGAUCAGUAGCCGGCCUGAGAGGGUGAACGGCCACACUGGGACUGAGACACGGCCCAGACUCCUACGGGAGGCAGCAGUGGGGAAUCUUCCGCAAUGGACGAAAGUCUGACGGAGCAACGCCGCGUGUAUGACGAAGGCC
RNAcentral lists this ribosomal RNA (428 nucleotides) under bacterium enrichment culture clone OZDCA217. Its description in RNAcentral is "bacterial SSU rRNA". It matches the Rfam family "Bacterial small subunit ribosomal RNA", at positions 9 to 416 of the family's 1533-position model. The record is from RNAcentral.